UCAUCCGUCAUCAUCAUCGUUAUCAUCAUCAGUGCAACAGCCCCCCGCAGGGCGCUUAGUUUAUUUGCAUUACGUCUCGCGUUUGUUCUCUGUCACAUCAGCCGUGUGUCACACGCUUCUUCGGUAAACUGGAGCUUUGCCUGUCUUGUUCUCAGCCGACGACUGAUUUGCAUUAGCAAAGUCAAACAGGCUUAAUAGACUUUUAUUGGCAUGAGGCGGCCGGGCGCUGAGGGGGGCUUUUAAACAAUGCAGUAUGCUAAUAAACACAACUAUGCGUACGAGGACAUCAACUGGCACAUCAGCACCGAACGCAAUCCCACACACACCCAAGGACCUGAUCCACGAGCCUGCAUUAAUGCAUAAAAUUGCUUUUUACUUUUGAAAUGUUGUUUUUGAGAAAUAUUAAAGACACUUUAAUGUUGUCUUGCUAUAGGCAUCAAGACAGAGAGAGAGAGA
Long non-coding RNA from Salarias fasciatus (jewelled blenny), 456 nucleotides. RefSeq lists it as uncharacterized. The transcript is spliced from 3 exons. Lineage: Eukaryota; Metazoa; Chordata; Actinopteri; Blenniiformes; Blenniidae. The record is from RefSeq and is a predicted model, not a curated record.